UCGCAUUGGUCUCAAACCAAUGACAUGCAUUUUGAAGACCAUGAGUUCGAGGUGGACGAGGAGGGUGAGGGCAUUGUCGAUGCACCGAAAGGAAGAGCGGGCAAUUACACCAACACCGAUGACAUCUUACUAUGCAAUACUUGGUUGCAAGUGUCGAGGGAUCCAUCCGUUGGAGGCGAUCAAAGUAGAGAUGCUUAUUGGAACCGGAUGAAGGGACACUUUGAUGCUCGCAACGUGAGUCGAAUUGACCGCUCCAACCGAUCACUUAGGUCCCGGUGGUCGACAAUCAACUCGGAUUGUCAAAAGUGGGCGGCUUGUCAAAAGGCGGUUGACAAG
Molecule: ribosomal RNA, 336 nt
Filed under: Triticum aestivum (bread wheat)
Lineage: Eukaryota; Viridiplantae; Streptophyta; Magnoliopsida; Poales; Poaceae
Description: partial small subunit ribosomal RNA
Source: RNAcentral